UGCUCCGUUCCCAUCAUCAGGAAAUUGAUUAUAAACUGAUAGGUUGUUUAAAUCACGGAGAUAUACCUUUGAAAAUGGAGAAAAUGGAACGACAACAGCCAGCGACAUAUUUUCAUGAAUAUUUAUUUUGACACUAUUUGGAAGUACUCUUCGGGCAUUAUUUGCAUUUAGUUGAUGGAGCCAUCAAAUUUCGAUAAAUUUAAGUUUAACUGGUAGUUGUAGGAUAAGAGCCCCUUCCUGGAUGUUUGUUUUGAUAAAUUGUUGUUUAUGUAUUUUAUUUAAAUUAAUUUGGUAAUUUAUUUCAUUGUUUACUAAGCAAAUGUGUCGGAGUCAGACUGCAAUAACAACUUUUUUCAUUAUGAAGGUUUAGGAAGUGAUACCUUUAGUAUUGAUGUCAGAAACGUUACUUGCAAUUUUGAUGCCAUUAACGAUACUUUCAAUUUUAAUGCCAAUAACACUACUUACAAUUUUGAUGCCACUCACGAUACAGGAAUAGAAGAAUCAACAAGGCUAGUUGUACUAAAGUUUUCGUAUUGCUUAAUGCAUUAACGUCUAACAAACCUAGGAGAAACAUCGACCUUGCGUCCAUACUGUUAACAGCGUCUCUUGGGUUACAGAAACUACUGGGUGUGGCAUGUCCAAUAUGGAGUAAAACUCAGAUCAAUGAACGGAAAGCUUGCAUCGUUUGCUGUACAUGCUUUUUUUUUUUUACACUGGCCUUAAACGUGCCAAGAUUAUUUGUAAUUAAUCUGAGUCGUGGGAAGGAAGGAUAUGUAUGUUUAGUCUCAGCACCACAAUAUAUCAUUCAGCAGUAUAUUCUAGCAUACUAUCCGAUUGUGUUCUCCGUUAUUUUGGUUGUUGCAGUAGUAACAAUGCUUAUAUCAACAUGCUAUAUCAUAUGUAUAUUGUGCCGACGGAAACGUGUCCGUGGACAUGCUGCAGCUUCCAGGGCUGAAAAAAAUCUUGCAUAUUGAUUGUGUGCGUCAUGACGGUCUUUUUUUCUCGCAGAAGUUCCAAGGCUUUAUGUCUGCUCGACGCUAUUUGGUACUUAUAGAUCUAAUUUGGACAUACAGAAUGUUGCCUUACAGGAACUUUCGACCGAGGUUGAUGAAAAAUAUUCAGCAUGUUUUGAUGAUAUAUCGAGUUAUAUCUCAGGAGAGUCCUGCGUCUAUGAUUUUUUUUGAACUGCCAUGACAUGAUCAAAACAUAAUUUUUAAUGAACUGGAAGUUUUCAUUUCUGAUUUUGAAAAGGUCGCUGAAGAAUAUCCGC
RNAcentral lists this long non-coding RNA (1270 nucleotides) under Mytilus galloprovincialis (Mediterranean mussel). The record is from RNAcentral. Lineage: Eukaryota; Metazoa; Mollusca; Bivalvia; Mytilida; Mytilidae.